RNAcentral lists this ribosomal RNA (196 nucleotides) under Pseudomonas jessenii. Its description in RNAcentral is "partial 16S rRNA". The record is from RNAcentral. Lineage: Bacteria; Pseudomonadati; Pseudomonadota; Gammaproteobacteria; Pseudomonadales; Pseudomonadaceae.
CCUCUACCAUACUCUAGCUUGUCAGUUUUGAAUGCAGUUCCCAGGUUGAGCCCGGGGCUUUCACAUCCAACUUAACAAACCACCUACGCGCGCUUUACGCCCAGUAAUUCCGAUUAACGCUUGCACCCUCUGUAUUACCGCGGCUGCUGGCACAGAGUUAGCCGGUGCUUAUUCUGUCGGUAACGUCAAAAUUGCA